CAUUCCUUCGAAAAUCUGAACAAAAUGCGUGAGAACUCACUACCGUC
This 47-nucleotide small nucleolar RNA is filed under the name Sus scrofa (pig). Its description in RNAcentral is "Small nucleolar RNA SNORD116 (ENSSSCG00015034002.1)". It matches the Rfam family "Small nucleolar RNA SNORD116", at positions 26 to 71 of the family's 92-position model. Rfam says of the family: HBII-85 is a member of the C/D class of snoRNAs, which contain the C (UGAUGA) and D (CUGA) box motifs. HBII-85 is encoded in a tandemly repeated array with another C/D snoRNA, HBII-52, in the Prader-Willi syndrome (PWS) region of chromosome 15. Lineage: Eukaryota; Metazoa; Chordata; Mammalia; Artiodactyla; Suidae. The record is from RNAcentral.